CGCUGGCGGCGUGCCUAAUACAUGCAAGUCGAGCGAACGGACGAGAAGCUUGCUUCUCUGAUGUUAGCGGCGGACGGGUGAGUAACACGUGGAUAACCUACCUAUAAGACUGGGAUAACUUCGGGAAACCGGAGCUAAUACCGGAUAAUAUUUUGAACCGCAUGGUUCAAAAGUGAAAGACGGUCUUGCUGUCACUUAUAGAUGGAUCCGCGCUGCAUUAGCUAGUUGGUAAGGUAACGGCUUACCAAGGCAACGAUGCAUAGCCGACCUGAGAGGGUGAUCGGCCACACUGGAACUGAGACACGGUCCAGACUCCUACGGGAGGCAGCAGUAGGGAAUCUUCCGCAAUGGGCGAAAGCCUGACGGAGNCACGCCGCGUGAGUGAUGAAGGUCUUCGGAUCGUAAAACUCUGUUAUUAGGGAAGAACAUAUGUGUAAGUAACUGUGCACAUCUUGACGGUACCCUAUCAGAAAGCCACGCUAACUACGUGCCAGCAGCCGCGGUAAUACGUAGGUGGCAAGCGUUAUCCCGAAAUAUUGGGCGUAAAGCGCGCGUAGGCGGUUUUUUAGUCUGAUGUGAAAGCCCACGGCUCAACCGUGGAGGGUCAUUGGAAACUGGAAAACUUGAGUGCAGAAGAGGAAAGUGGAAUUCCAUGUGUAGCGGUGAAAUGCGCAGAGAUAUGGAGGAACACCAGUGGCGAAGGCGACUUUCUGGUCUGUAACUGACGCUGAUGUGCGAAAGCGUGGGGAUCAAACAGGAUUAGAUACCCUGGUAGUCCACGCCGUAAACGAUGAGUGCUAAGUGUUAGGGGGUUUCCGCCCCUUAGUGCUGCAGCUAACGCAUUAAGCACUCCGCCUGGGGAGUACGACCGCAAGGUUGAAACUCAAAGGAAUUGACGGGGACCCGCACAAGCGGUGGAGCAUGUGGUUUAAUUCGAAGCAACGCGAAGAACCUUACCAAAUCUUGACAUCCUUUGACAACUCUAGAGAUAGAGCCUUCCCCUUCGGGGGACAAAGUGACAGGUGGUGCAUGGUUGUCGUCAGCUCGUGUCGUGAGAUGUUGGGUUAAGUCCCGCAACGAGCGCAACCCUUAAGCUUAGUUGCCAUCAUUAAGUUGGGCACUCUAAGUUGACUGCCGGUGACAAACCGGAGGAAGGUGGGGAUGACGUCAAAUCAUCAUGCCCCUUAUGAUUUGGGCUACACACGUGCUACAAUGGACAAUACAAAGGGCAGCGAAACCGCGAGGUCAAGCAAAUCCCAUAAAGUUGUUCUCAGUUCGGAUUGUAGUCUGCAACUCGACUACAUGAAGCUGGAAUCGCUAGUAAUCGUAGAUCAGCAUGCUACGGUGAAUACGUUCCCGGGUCU
This 1364-nucleotide ribosomal RNA is filed under the name uncultured bacterium. Its description in RNAcentral is "bacterial SSU rRNA". It matches the Rfam family "Bacterial small subunit ribosomal RNA", at positions 34 to 1381 of the family's 1533-position model. The record is from RNAcentral.